AACCAUGAAACACGUGUCGACUAGAAUGUGAAACUCUAUAACUUUGUCUUUUACACGAAUUUCUAUCUGCAGUAUUUUCCGAGUUAUAGGUCCCAUAGCUCAAUGGCUCAAAACGCUCAUAGCUCCGAAAUUAUAAGCUUU
This is a long non-coding RNA of Bradysia coprophila, 141 nucleotides long. Lineage: Eukaryota; Metazoa; Arthropoda; Insecta; Diptera; Sciaridae. The record is from RefSeq and is a predicted model, not a curated record.